UUCUUCUUCUUCUAUCUCUGGCGAUUCAGAGAGAAAAUCUCUGUUGAGAAAACAUACAGAAAAUUAGUGAAGCAGAUCAAUCGAGUGUAGUGUUGAUGAGUUCAUAGUUUGGAUUUAGUUAGAAUCCUCGAUUGAGUUGAAGAAAAGUGAUGAUGUUGUAAAUUAGAAAUUAGGGUUUGAAGAGCGGAUUAAAGGCUGGAGUUUUAGAAGAUGAAUUCUAGAGCUGUUGGUAGAUGAAGAAUCAUGGGUAGAGGUUCGAUUGAAGCUUUGAAGUUGUUUUGAUGAUCGAACCGAGAAUUAGGGUUUCUGGAAGAAUUAGAAGAUGGAAUCGAUAUCUUAAGAAGGGGAUUUGAGAUGGGUUUGUUGAUAUGAAAACUUUAGGUUGCUGUUUUCGGAUCGAUUUGGAGAAGUCUUGGUUUGGGAAUGAAAUUAGGGUUCUUGAGUUGUUCGAGGGAUUGUGUGAAAUUGAAGGUUUAGAAGUCUAAUUGAAGAUGGGUUUGUCACGAAUUAAGAAUUAAGGUUGUAUCUUUUAAAGAAGAGAUUGAUAAAUUGGAAUUAGGGUUUCUGGAUUUUGUCUUGAAGUUUAUUUGAGUGGCGAUUUGAUAAGAAUAAAUUAGAUUCAAGAACGAUUGAUGAUAGAGGUGGAGUUAUCAUAACCAAGUAUGGUCUCUGCUGAAGGUUGUGAUGGAUUCCUUGAGUAGAAUCAUUUUGGAGGUAAUUGUUCUUCUGAGUUUAUUUAGAUAAAGUUAUUUAAUCUUCUUGGUUGAGUUUAAGUAGUUGAUAUUUGAAUUAAUGUUUGAGAUGAGUAUGGAAUGAAUCUGUAAUGGGUGGUGGAGGCUUGUAAAUGUUGGUUACAGAACAGUGGUGGAUUUUUGGAAGCUGUUGAGAAUGGUGUAUGUGUGUUUGAACUGAUAAAUUGAAGAUCAGGGUUUGCAGUAGUAUUGGAACUGAAAUUUAACAUGGAUGAAUUUGAUACGGAGUUGAGUUUAUGGGAUUGAUAAUGUAAUUAUAAUUGUAGUUAGUGAUGUUGUUGUGAUUGGAAUAAACUGAAUGACUUGGAGAAUGUUGAAUUAGGGUUGUUGAUAGGGAUGAUGCUGAAAUGGUUGUUGGUUGAGUAGUGUAGGAUUAUAGUUGGUAGAUUCAGUGAAAGCAUGUUACUGCUGCCACUUUCAGUUAGUUUAUAUUAACAACGAUCGAUUCAAAGGACGAACCAGUGGAUCGUGGAUCUCGAAGUAGGCGUGGCUUGUCAUCAAAAGAGUUUCAGAUACAGAUCAGAGUUGUGCAACGAAAGUUUCGAGGAGUCGAGUCCGUUUGUUAGAUUACUUCGGCUAUGUUUAUUCUGUUGCAUAUUAUAUUUGAAAACCGAAUGACUAUUGUAUAUGUAUCAUUUGAGAGGAGUUCUUGUAUAUACAUAUUCUGAGCGGGGCUAGUUUCGGGUUAA
This is a long non-coding RNA of Papaver somniferum (opium poppy), 1441 nucleotides long. RefSeq lists it as uncharacterized. The transcript is spliced from 3 exons. NCBI's taxonomy places the organism in Eukaryota, Viridiplantae, Streptophyta, Magnoliopsida, Ranunculales, Papaveraceae. The record is from RefSeq and is a predicted model, not a curated record.